CGCGCGGUGGAGCAGCGGUAGCUCGUCGGGCUCAUAACCCGAAGGUCGGAGGUUCAAUUCCUCCCCGCGCAA
RNAcentral lists this transfer RNA (72 nucleotides) under Deltaproteobacteria bacterium. RNAcentral describes it as "tRNA-Met". It matches the Rfam family "tRNA". From Rfam's summary of the family: Transfer RNA (tRNA) molecules are approximately 80 nucleotides in length. Their secondary structure includes four short double-helical elements and three loops (D, anti-codon, and T loops). The record is from RNAcentral. Lineage: Bacteria; Pseudomonadati; Myxococcota; Myxococcia.